Molecule: ribosomal RNA, 347 nt
Filed under: uncultured bacterium
Lineage: Bacteria
Description: partial 16S ribosomal RNA
Rfam family: Bacterial small subunit ribosomal RNA
Source: RNAcentral
CCUACGGGGGGCUGCAGUGGGGAAUAUUGGGCAAUGGAGGCAACUCUGACCCAGCAACGCCGCGUGAAUGAUGAAGGUCUUCGGAUUGUAAAGUUCUGUGAUGCGGGAUCAACACAAUGACGGUACCCCACUAGCAAGCCACGGCUAACUUCGUGCAGGCCUCCCCGGUAAUACGUAGGUGGCAAGCGUUAUCCGGUGUGACUGGUCGCAAGGGUUGCGUAGGUGGUAUAGUAAGUUGGCGCUGUAAUUCCUGGGCUCAACGGGGGCGCUACCACCAAAACUAUUAUACUAGAGUGCAGGUGCGGUGAGUGGAAUGCGUAGUGUAGCGGUGGAAUGCGUAGAUAUUA